Unclassified non-coding RNA from Acanthaster planci (crown-of-thorns starfish), 1181 nucleotides. The record is from RefSeq and is a predicted model, not a curated record. Lineage: Eukaryota; Metazoa; Echinodermata; Asteroidea; Valvatida; Acanthasteridae.
AAGUGUUUGUGUGUGUGUGAUUGUCGAGUGUGAUGGGCCAUUGAGGUGUUGCAGUUUUUGUAAAGGCCCAUUGAUCCGUUACGCACAAAUCCCCACAUGUAACCAAUGGAGCUGUAGGUGGAGCUGCAGGGCAGGCAUUAUAUACAUCAGAGACCUUGCAAUUAAAACAAAUAGCCCCACAUGUCUGAAACGAUGACUCAUCGUGCCAUGUGAGUCAUUUCAGCUUGCGUGGCUUGCUAGGAAAUACCUUCAUUUAGGUGUCUGUGCUGAUGGCAUUAUUGUUAGUACGUAGAUGUCGGAGCUGAGUGUGUUUGGGUGAGGGAGUUCACAGCACAUUGGAUGUGAUAAUGGUUCAGGAGUCAACAGUGUUUUGGUGGGCAGGUUCACCUUGAUGACUUCACCGUUUGAUCUAUUGGACCUACUGUGGCUUGUAUCUUCAAGUUUACCAUGCUGGGUUCAAGACUGGAACAAAUGCAUGCACCCUUCCUGCUGCUUUCAACUAGAAGCACCUCCAACUGGAAUCUGAUCACUGUGUUACUUUCAGGGUUUACCCCAUGUAACUGUGUAUCAUUGUGUACAUGUUUUGCGCACAAUUCAGUUUGUGUGUUGCUGUGAACCAAGAACGGGCCAUUUAGAGGUCACCCAAUUUUGCAGUUUCCUCCUCAGCUGAAGAAAGAUCGAGGUUGUGCUGAGUAAACAUGCCACUUGCUAGCAAGGUUGAACAAAUAAUGUGGUUACUCAAUUGCUACUGACAGCCAGCUUGUCCAUUAGAUAAACAUACAUGACCCGGCUCCACAACCCUAGAUGACCCAAGUUGACCUGAGGAGCCUUGGCCUUGAUAUGACUGUUUCCUGUGGACGCCCAGGGCGGGUGCAUGCUGCAUGUUUUUGACUGCCAGAUAACUGCGGCGGCCAUGACUUGGUGUCUUGUGGGUAACACAGGGGCAGUUCACAUUUUGCCUCAGUCUAUGAUCUUCGUCGGGCGAGACAACUGCGACAUUAACAUUCAGUCUCGGAGCGUUGAUAAGCGCCACUCUGUCAUUAACUUUGACCAAUAUGACAAGGCUUUUUUCAUCAAGGACAUGGAGACUUUAAAUGGGACAUUUGUUAAUGAAACCAGAAUACCUGAUCAGACUUAUAUCAGUUUGCAGCGUGGAGACUCUAUUAGGUUUGGAUAUGAUA